UGAAAAAUGUAUUCUAAAACAGCUAGGACAGUGUCGCAUUUAUCCUACUGUGCUUUUUUGCAAAAUAUGUGCCCCAUGCAUUCAGACGUUGCAUACUUUGUGGCAAUAGGAAAUGCUGCUUCUCAUGUAUUUUGUUGUUGGGUGUUUGCAAGUUGUGCAAUCCAUGCAAUCCAUGCCACAUGCAAGGGCUUUGCAAGAUUUCGAGAAUACCCAUAAUUGUAAAAAAAAAUUUUAGCGAGCUAAACUAAACUUUAAGCGAAUACGAUCGUGUUGUUGUGCUGCGCCUACAACGAAACAUAGAACAUCGCAUGGCGGAAAGUCGACUGCGCUGCAAAUCUUAGUGGGCGGCCACGCAACAUAUAUGUAUGUACAUAUGUAUGUAUGUACAUACAUUCAUGCAUACAUAUGUAUGUAAAAGUUGUAAGACUUCAUCCGUGAGCAGAGCAUAUGCAAGUUUGCGUUCUCGUUCUUAAUCGUUGCGCAAAGAUCAGCCGAUAAUUUGCUGCUGCUGAUGACGCCACCGUCAACUGCAUAAAGCAUAACAAAGCGGAGACGACGUUUAACCGCGCGCCAAACACCAGCUCAGUUUCAGUCCCCAUCCAGUAGUCAAUGUGUUCACUUAUUAAAUAGUAGUUUGAUCCUCCAUUCGGUCGUUAGCCUGAUUGUUGGUCAGCCGAUUCAUAUAUUUAGUUAAAAUAUCAACAAAAGGUGCCAAACAACUUAGUCACUUCGACAGAGUGUGAGACAGUACGUCAGCUAGUUAAUUUCUUACAUGUCAAUUCUGAAACCGGUGAUAAAAAUCUAAUUGAAAAAAAAAAACAAAA
Long non-coding RNA from Rhagoletis pomonella (apple maggot), 824 nucleotides. RefSeq lists it as uncharacterized. The record is from RefSeq and is a predicted model, not a curated record. NCBI's taxonomy places the organism in Eukaryota, Metazoa, Arthropoda, Insecta, Diptera, Tephritidae. The transcript has 2 exons.